UACGUAGGGGGCAAGCGUUGUCCGGAAUCAUUGGGCGUAAAGCGCGCGUAGGCGGCCCGGUAAGUCCGCUGUAAAAGUCCAGGGCUCAACCCUGGAAAGCCGGUGGAUACUGUCGGGCUAGAGUCCGGAAGAGGCGAGUGGAAUUCCUGGUGUAGCGGUGGAAUGCGCAGAUAUCAGGAGGAACACCGGUGGUGUAGACGGCUUUCUGGACCGUAACUGACGCUGAGACACGAAAGCGUGGGUAGCAAACAGG
This 253-nucleotide ribosomal RNA is filed under the name uncultured bacterium. Its description in RNAcentral is "partial 16S ribosomal RNA". It matches the Rfam family "Bacterial small subunit ribosomal RNA", at positions 524 to 776 of the family's 1533-position model. The record is from RNAcentral.